RNAcentral lists this non-coding RNA (24 nucleotides) under Arabidopsis thaliana (thale cress). The record is from RNAcentral. Lineage: Eukaryota; Viridiplantae; Streptophyta; Magnoliopsida; Brassicales; Brassicaceae.
ACUUUUAGACCGUGAGGCCAAACU